GUGUUCCCUUUCGCAGCACAUAUACUAAAACAGAAUGAUACAGAAAUUAGCAUGGCCUCUGUGCACAUUCAUGAGGCCUUUCAUAUUUUA
RNAcentral lists this small nuclear RNA (90 nucleotides) under Microtus ochrogaster (prairie vole). The record is from RNAcentral. Lineage: Eukaryota; Metazoa; Chordata; Mammalia; Rodentia; Cricetidae.